UCCAACAGCCUCUUUCACCUCCUGUUGACAUCUCUCCAUCAGUUGUCGGCGGCUAACCUCCAUCCUCUCCACCAUGGCAUCCUGCUGUCUCCCAUCCGGCACCAUCCCAUGUGUUCCAAUAAGGUGUAGCCCACGCCCCAGCCCAUCUUGUGCCUAUCCAUGUGGGCCUAUCUUUCCAGUGAGCAGUUCCCAGCCCUCUAGACGCCAAACCUAUCAAUGCAGACCCCUUGCACCCUUGUGUGUCCAGCCUAGCAGUGGCCAGUCUUCUUCUGGUCCAACCUGUGCCAUUCCAUGUGGGCCCAUCUAUCCAGUGAGCAGUGGCCAGUCUUCUUCUGGUCCAACCUGUGCCAUUCCGUGUGGGCCCAUCUAUCCGGUGAGCAGUGGCCAGUCUUCUUCUGGUCCAACCUGUGCCAUUCCGUGUGGGCCCAUCUAUCCAGUGAGCAGCGGCCAGUCUUCUUCUGGUCCAACCUAUGCCAUUCCGUGUGGGCCCAUCUAUCCAGUGAGCAGUGGCCAGUCUUCUUCUGGUCCAACCUGUGCCAUUCCGUGUGGGCCCAUCUAUCCGGUGAGCAGUGGCCAGUCUUCUUCUGGUCCAACCUGUGCCAUUCCGUGUGGGCCCAUCUAUCCAGUGAGCAGUGGCCAAUCUUCCUCCCCUCCAGUGAGCAGCUGUCAGCCUUGCUAUGUCCCAAUUUGUAUCGAGCCCUGUGCUCCUUGUCGUUUCCCUUGCUAAACCACCAAGAAACAUCUCCCCUGGUACGCGGUCAUGUUGAGAAUUGAAAAUGAUGGAACGAAUUCAUGGCUAAGCUGAUGGGGACUGGGUACCCAAAGCGCUGAGCAUUCACACUUCUAACUGAGGCUCUGUAGUUUCAGCACCUGCGCAUCAUCUUUGGCGCUCAGUCCCUGCUUUAAUGUUCUUUGACCCUGCCACUUCUGAAGGAUCCCUUUUGCUACAUUUCACAAUUGCUCUGUUUAAUCAGGGAGACAUGACACAUUGUUGUCAAUUUCAUCUCUGAGGGUUGCUAUCAGCUGUGUUCCCCAAUGCUAAUCAUAGAUUCAACCUGCUGUUCACUCCUCUUCCUUGUUUUUGUUAUGAUGUCUUUGUGUUCUCAUUCUGUUUGCACUAAAUAAAGUCAUCUCUGCUGCAAAGAAA
Rhineura floridana is the source of this 1147-nucleotide long non-coding RNA. RefSeq lists it as uncharacterized. The transcript is spliced from 2 exons. The record is from RefSeq and is a predicted model, not a curated record. Lineage: Eukaryota; Metazoa; Chordata; Lepidosauria; Squamata; Rhineuridae.